CCGCCUGGGGAGUACGGCCGCAUGGCUAAAACUCAAAGGAAUUGACGGGGGCCCGCACAAGCGGCGGAGCAUGCGGAUUAAUUUGAUGCAACGCGAAGAACCUUACCAAGGCUUGACAUACACCGGAUCGGCUCAGAGAUGGGUUUUCCUCCUUGUGGGGCUGGUGUACAGGUGGUGCAUGGUUGUCGUCAGCUCGUGUCGUGAGAUGUUGGGUUAAGUCCCGCAACGAGCGCAACCCUCGUUCUAUGUUGCCAGCACGUGAUGGUGGGGACUCAUAGGAGACUGCCGGGGUCAACUCGGAGGAAGGUGGGGAUGACGUCAAAUCAUCAUGCCCCUUAUGUCUUGGGCUUCACGCAUGCUACAAUGGCCAGUACAAUGGGUUGCGAUACCGUGAGGUGGAGCUAAUCCCAAAAAGCUGGUCUCAGUUCGGAUCGUGGUCUGCAACUCGACCACGUGAAGUCGGAGUCGCUAGUAAUCGCAGAUCAGCAACGCUGCGGUGAAUACGUUCCCGGGCCUUGUACACACCGCCCGUCAAGUCACGAAAGUUGGUAACACCCGAAGCCGGUGGCCUAACCCUUGUGGGGGGAGCCGUCGAAGGUGGGACUGGCGAUUGGGACUAAGUCGAAUCAAUUUCGGAG
RNAcentral lists this ribosomal RNA (638 nucleotides) under Kocuria marina. RNAcentral's name for it is "bacterial SSU rRNA". It matches the Rfam family "Bacterial small subunit ribosomal RNA", at positions 869 to 1502 of the family's 1533-position model. Lineage: Bacteria; Bacillati; Actinomycetota; Actinomycetes; Micrococcales; Micrococcaceae. The record is from RNAcentral.